UGGGGAAUAUUGCACAAUGGGCGAAAGCCUGAUGCAGCAACGCCGCGUGAGUGAUGAAGGCCUUCGGGUUGUAAAGCUCUGUCUUUUGGGACGAUAAUGACGGUACCAAAGGAGGAAGCCACGGCUAACUACGUGCCAGCAGCCGCGGUAAUACGUAGGUGGCAAGCGUUGUCCGGAUUUACUGGGCGUAAAGGAUGCGUAGGCGGAUUUUUAAGUGAGAUGUGAAAACCCUAAGCUUAACUUGGGGACUGCAUUUCAUACUGGAAAAUCUAGAGUGCGGGAGAGGAGAAUGGAAUUCCUAGUGUAGCGGUGAAAUGCGUAGAGAUUAGGAAGAACACCAGUGGCGAAGGCGAUUCUCUGGACCGUAACUGACGCUGAGGCAUGAAAAGCGUGGGUAGCAAACAGGAUUAGAUACCCUGGUAGUCCACGCCGUAAACGAUGAGUACUAGGUGUAGGAGGUAUCGACCCCUUCUGUGCCGCAGUUAACACAAUAAGUACUCCGCCUGGGAAGUACGAUCGCAAGAUU
This 526-nucleotide ribosomal RNA is filed under the name uncultured bacterium. RNAcentral describes it as "partial 16S ribosomal RNA". It matches the Rfam family "Bacterial small subunit ribosomal RNA", at positions 355 to 895 of the family's 1533-position model. The record is from RNAcentral.